GGCCCUCCCUCUAGGCCUCCCCAGCUACUGUGACAUCACCCAGGGCGAGACCUAGACUAGUCCUGGCUCCAACCUCUGGGAGUCCUCAUGGCAUCUGACUUGUCAGACGGACUUUGUGGAUCUGCUCCUUUGGGAACCACCUCUGAUGGAUUGAAGUCUCAGCAAAAGAAGCAAGAAGCCCAGGCGCUCUGACCUCAUGAUGUCCUCAGCAGACAGGGAAGAUGCAGGGGUAGAGACCAAGGACAGGACAGUGUUUGCAGCUGUGUGCCCACCCCCUUCCUACCCUUGAGGGAGGAGCCAGAGGCUGGAGUACUGGGGCUGGAGUUAAGAACUGCAGAUGGAAGUGAGAGAGGAGGAGAAGAAAGAGGCUCCCACCCGGCUUCUGACCCAGGACAUACUGCCAGAUGGGAGCAGAGGGUGAGGAAUAAACAUUUAUUGAGCACUUACUGUGUGCCAGGCAUUACAUAGGAGCUAGCAUGUAUGUUCCAGAAUGUAAACUCCAUGAGGGUGGAGAUUAUCUGUUUUAUUAUUCACUGUUGUAAUCUUAGUGCCUAGCACAGUUACUAGCACAUGGUAGGAACUCAAUAAACAUAUGCAGAAUAAAUGAAUGUGUACCUGUUAUGCCCACCAUAACUCUAUGAAGCAGAUAAAAAUAUUAUAGCCAUGUUACAUGAUCUUCAGCUGAGGCUCAGAGAGGUUAAGUGACUUGCUCAAUGUCACACAGCCAAGUAAAUGGCAGAGCUGGCACUGCCUGGCUGUAAAGCUCUUGCUCUUACCACUGC
RNAcentral lists this long non-coding RNA (782 nucleotides) under Callithrix jacchus (white-tufted-ear marmoset). RNAcentral's name for it is "lncRNA (ENSCJAG00000085200.1)". The record is from RNAcentral. Lineage: Eukaryota; Metazoa; Chordata; Mammalia; Primates; Cebidae.